UUCUAUAUUCAAUUUUAUAAUAUUGCUAAUUGUUACAGAAAUGAUUGUUGUAAAGGCUGUGUUGUUGUAAUCACUAACUAAUUAACUAACUAACCAUUUAGCAGAUUAAUCAAUGAAGCAAAUAAUCGUUAGCUGCAGCCUUAUAACCUUUAAAAUGUCUUUAGAAACUGGUGGUGGUCUAACUAGCCUACAUGUACUGUCCCAAAAAGGUGUUACGGCUAAUUGCAUAUGUUUUGUAAAUUCAGAAUUUAUUAGUAAUCACUGAUUUUAAAAAGUACACAACAACUAAAAAAGUACAUUGUACUUUGCAUAGUCGAUAAAAACGUAAAUUCAACUGUAAAUUAAGUUUUAAUAUCCAAAAAACGUUUUUUUCCCCAAUUUUUGUCCAUGUCGUGUUUCAGUUCUCCGAGGAAUACCUGCGGCGGAUUCAGCGGAACGAGUGGCCUCGUGUGAUUGUGGUGGCCGACGGGUCGUGUGGCGACUCCUGCUCCGUGCUGGGCAUUAGCUCCGACUACACCGUGGAGUCCUGCCAUGCCUACGGAGCUAAUGCCACCAUAGAGAGACUAGAUCAGAGACAGGUUAGGACACAUUGGCCAUCCGUAACGCACACAUCAACAUCCACUAAUGGGUGCAUUCACUCCUGUGCACACACUGAGGCAAUAACCAAUACGUUGCUGUUUGUGUAAAGAAUGACGGCAGCAGAAACAGGAUAUUGCAGUAUAUUAUCGAGAAGGAACUUUAUAUGACCUCAUAAAGCUGAGUUGAGCAAACAACAAUGUGGAUCUGUAAAUAGCAGCUGAAUACAAUAUGUGACUCAUUUGCACAGCUGGAUUACAGCAGUCGGUUGAAUCUCUUCUGCACCGACGCAGGUUCUAUUCUAAUUUACUCAUUGAAUUUGAUGAGAACAGCUGUUGUUGUGAUGGAUGCAGGUGACUGAAAUGAUAGAGCUUGCAAUUCAUUAAGUCCCCCCCCCCUCCUGGACAGACUCGUAGUCGUUCACCUGCCAGGUGACUAUGAAUCAAGAUUUAAAAAUAUCUGCUGCCAUUUAUUUUGCAUAGUGCCCCGGAGGUCACCUGACAUCUGAGAUGCAGACGGUUCCUUAACUUACUCACAUCUGUUCAGACCAAGAGCCCCAGAAAAAUAAAAAAUAAAAAUAAAAGUAAAUAGUCAACAUUUUCACAGAGAAAAAAUUUAAUUAAUUAUUUGUUUGUGUAAUAAACUGCAGAUUAGGAAAUAACAACAGAAAAUAAGAAAUAUCCCAUCCCUGCUGGUCCAUGGACGGGGAAAUGCAGACAAAUUAUAUUGAUCCGGCCCAGAUAUCCAGAUGUGAUCAAUAGUAUCGCUUCCAGGUGUGCAUUUUUUAACAUCUAAAUGGUUCUAUGCCACCAUCACCAGAUAUACCUUCUCUUUAGAGGCUCUGUAGCUGCCUUUCAUUGAAGCCUUUUUUCCGUGACUGCUUCCUGUAAUGAUUGAAUUCACCUACCAGGAAUAUGACGUGGUUAUUUCUUAAGUUGCCUCUCUGUUGCGCUGAAUGCUUGUUUGAUUGAAUGUGGCUGGUUUACGUCAUUGAAAAGAUAUUCUGUUUUAAGGGAAAAUUAGUUUGGGGGGGGUGUCACUGCCAGACUGAAGCACGGAAUAAAAUCCAGCUACUCUCAAUGUCCACCCGAGUGACUACAGCCCCACAGGCAGACGUCGUAUAUAAGUAGUGUUCUAUCGUAUUGAUUUACUGUUGUCCAAAAUAUCAAAUAUGCCAUUAACUGACUACUGGUCCUCGGAGAUUUAACUCUUCUCUUUACUUCAGGUUCCCACUCCUGAGAUCCGUACCCCCAGCCUCUACUUCGACCUGUCCGCCUAUGGCGUGGAGGCCCUCCGAGAGCCCAGAAAUCCCGCCGCCAAACCUGGCUUCCACCUAAAGAUCUAUGGCACCUUCAGGAACCGCUACAUGGCCCUCGCCUGCCCGGCCUCUGACACCAAGAUGGUCCGCUUCCUCCGGCACACGGCCAACUCCUCUGUGAGAGACGCUUGUCCCUGUUUGAUUUAACAAAAACGUGGUGUCUGUUUUCGAUAAAGCUUCUAGGUGACGUAGAACACACAGCUGUAACUCUACGUCAAUGUGCUUUGAGUCCAUUAGUGUCCUCGUGUGGAUGUAUGUCUGCUUGAGUGUUUGCGUCUGUGUGAACGUUCUUUAAAUGUGAGUGUGUCUGAGUCAAAGAGAGCGUGAGAUAAAGAAAUAAUGAAAAGAGGGACGGAGAAAGGUGACCUCACUAUUCACGCUGAACAACAGGCCACGGAUGCAUUUGUCACCGGUGGGCAGUCAGUCUUUCAUUUAAACUCUCUGAGUUGUUUUUGUCCUACUGCUUUGAGCAGCGCGCACAACAUGGAGAACGCACAGGAACAUAGCAGGACCAUUCUCAGAGCGCAUGUUGCUAUGUGGGCGGCCAUUCAGAUUCCCUGUUACUUAGUAACAGAAGACUGAGCAAGUGUGGGUCGAGAAAAAACAGAGUUUGGCAGAGAGAAAGAGGCCGAGAGAGCAGGAGAGGCUUCACACUCAUUAACCACAAUUACCAGGAUCAAUGAAAAGGCACACAGCAGCUAUUCUACUAUGUCCCUGCAUGGUGAUAAAAUAACAGAGUCAAAGUUGCUUUGACACAGAACCUUUUACUUUAGAAGUGUAGGUUGGACUUGGUUGCAUAUAAAUCAUUUUUAAUAUUGAUGAUUUACUUUUCUUUUGAAAUGUGAAUAAAAAAAGCACAGAGAAAACGCCUUCCGCUAUUUACAACGACCAAAAACGAUGUCUUCCAAUUGGUAUUAAUUUUCCAGUUAUGCAAUUUAAAACCCGAUAAGACCAUAUAAAAAGCUGGAAGAAGUCAACUUGCUGACAACUUCUGUUGAUCAACGGAUUCUUAAACAGCUAGUGGUUUCAGCUCCGUCAUGGUGCAUUCUAUGGGGCGCCGUUUGUAAAAUGUCGCACGUUCUAAAAUCCUGCGCAGUUUUGCUACAUCUAGCAUUAUCAUAUGAACAAAAAAGCACGACAAUAUUCACAUGUCACUUUUUCAAACAUUUAGAGAAAAAUUCAUGUACAUUCAUGCAAUAACCUUUCCAAGGAUAAUGUUUAGCAGUAAUACAGUUAUUAAAUAAUAUAAAUGUUAAAUGUAAAACUAAAUGUUAAAUCUAAAUGUACAUGUUAAAUGUACAUGUUAAAUGCAAAUGUUAAAUCAAAAUGUACAUGUUAAAUGUAAAUCUAAAUGUUAAAUGUAUAUCUAAAUGUUAAAUGUAAAUCUAAAUGUUAAAUAGAGGCAAAUUUCAUUUUGAAAUGCGGUCCACAUGACCGCAGUGGAGAUGGGGUUCACGGGUGGGCAACGUUGCGCAAACCCCCCUUGACCUGACCAUCGGCAACGAUUUGGCCGCGCCGGUGAAGGCGGGUGGGGCACGGGCGCGGAUGCUCGCGGUUAACGGGGGACGGGUGCGCGGCCAAAUCGUCGCCGAUGGUCCAUCCAUUUACAUUCAGAUUUAACAUUUAGAUUUAACAUUUAGAUUGAACAUUUAACAUUUACAUUUAGAUUUAACAUUUAGAUAUAACAUUUAACAUUUACAUUUAACAUGUACAUAUAACAUUUCAAUCCGGAGAGACUUGUUGAAAUUUGAACAAUGCUUUAUUAUAACAGGUGUAAUAUGAUAUUGCAAGUUGUUUGGGGCUUGGACUCCAUCCUGCCGCAGGGUAGACCCGGGGCCGGGAACUCGAGCCGAGACGAGGCGUAUCCCCCCCUUGGGAGUCCAGACACUGGUGGUGGUGGUGGUGGUAGAGCCCAAGUUGCAUAACUCUCCUGCUAUGCCAGGUUCUGCUGUAGAUUGGAGGUGUCAGGGGUGGUGGCGGGUCACCUUUGGAGCGUGCUGAAAUGACAACUGACAGCACAAGAGAGGAGAACAGUUUUUAACGUUUGCCUGCCCAAUGCGAUUGGUUUACGGUAACGACACCCACGUCUGAUACUACCCGACCCCGCCCCUAAUCAGCUGGCCGUGCGCCCCCGGGAGAGAGGAGGCCACCAGGGAGAGAGGAGGCCACCAGGGAACGGCACAGCCUGUCCAGUCUUCCUGACUGAAUUUUUGCCUAAGCUUCAUUUAACAUUUACAUUUAGAUUUAACAUUUAGAUAUAACAUUUAACAUUUACAUUUAGAUUUAACAUGUACAUAUAACAUUUAACAUUUACAUUUAGAUUUAACAUUUAGAUAUAACAUUUAACAUUUAGAUUUAACAUGUAGAUAUAACAUUUAACAUUUAGAUUUAACAUUUAGAUUUACAUUAAACAUUGACAUUUAACAUUAAGAUAUAACAUUUACAUUUAGAUUUAGAUUUAGAUUUAACAUUUAGAUUAUUUAACAACUUAUUACUGCCAAACAUUAUCCUUGGAAAAGUUAUUGCAUGAAUGUACAUUAAUUUCUCUCUAAAUGUUUGAAAAAGUGACAUGUGAAUAUUGUCGUGCUUUUUUGUUCAUAUGAUAAUGCUAAAUGUAGCAAAACUGCACAGGAUUUUAGAACGUGCAACAUUUUACAAACGGCGCCCCAUAGCAUUCUUCCAUUUCUCUUUGUACGUAAAGACUCCAUAUCCAAAUCAUUAAGGUGCAUAAAGCUUCUUGUCACUUCUCACUUUGUCCUUAUCUCACACACCGUUCUGAGAUAAACGGUGGUGCAGGUUGCCAUAGUUUCACUGCGGCAGCGUGACGACUGAUGUGCUGUGGGGAAGUGAACAUGUCUCCAUGCAUGUGUGAAUGUACUGGUGUCCAUGAGGAAGUCACUUUACAAGCUGGCAAAAAUUAAAAAGGGUAAAUCGGAGUGGACAAUGCUACAAACUCUCUCUCUCUCUCUCUUGUUGGGCAGAUCAUGAAGAAUAUUUUCCACCAGUCCUUCAAUGUUUAUAAGACGGACAUCGAGCCUCGUCUCAACGACGUGACGCUGCACCGCAUGCAGUGCAGCCGGCGUCUCUUUGAGAUUCAGUUAUCACACAGACGCAUCAGCGCUGCCUUCAUAGAGGGGGACAAUGUGGCCGUCACCGUGGAGGGGGAGGCGGCGCGCGUCCUCAACUUUGACACAGGUACAUCUGUGCACAAUGUACUAAUAUAACAUGCAACUUAUGCAAUAUAGAAUAGGAGAGGGUCAGAAGUAUUUCUGAAGGUGAGACAACAGUGAAGCAGAACACAGAUCACUUUGAAUAAAUGAAACGGAGUGAGGAAGAGCGAUGGAAAUAAAGGCGGCACAAGUGGAUGAAUUGUUUUGUAUGCGAGCAGUAUGUCUGUGUGAGUCACUACUGCACUCAGUGGCCUUUCGGCUGACACUUAUCUUGUUCUGUUUCUCUGCAGCUCUAUGUUUAUUCAUGUUUAUAAGCCAUAGCCAUAUCUGCAAGGCCAGAGUUCACUGUUUGUCAUCCAAAAGACAAACAGCUCACAUCUUAUGGUGAAUGUGUUUGGCUGAUAUAAGUUUAAUUUGGCGAGUGUAUAAGGUCUGUGACUUACACUCUCCUUUCCCUUUCCGUUUAUUCCCUCUACACCUAAUCAUCCACCAGGUUGCGGAGUGAAUCUGGGUAUGCAAGGACUGGAGUCAAUGGGGACGUUCAUUUACCAGACAGCCACAGCUGUGGACCAGAACGAUGUUCUAGAGGCACUGUCUGCUAAAAUGCAACACUCCAGACAGGUGGCCGAGAGCUUCAAGCAGACAGGCCUGGCUCAAUCAAUUUAUGAAUGAAACACGAGGACGGGCAGGUGAAUGCAUAGUGCCCCCUAGUGGGAAGUGGUGGUGGAUUGUUUGUGUUUACACUGAAUGUUUACAAUGAAUCACUGUUGAUUACACACUGAAAGCAGAUGAACGGACGUGAUCUUUGCCUGGAUGAAUACAGGGUGUAAAGAUGUGACCACAAGUCGUUGUGAUGUACAAUGGGUGGAGCUAUUUAAUUAUGCAUGGAGCACACAUGCCAUGGACACAUUUGCUACGAGGCCUUUGAAGUUCUGUUUUUUCAGGUUGCAAAGCUCGUCAAUUCAAACAGAUGCAGAUGAGAUCUGACACAAUCUACAGUACAUUGUCUAUUAAUGCACUGCACUGGAUUUGGAUUCCUCUGUUAAGUGUCAGAACGAACCGGAUGAGGAGUUUCCUAAAUCUAGUCCAUUGUGUUCUCUUAACAUCGGUGUAAUGAGACUGUUGUGCAGCAACAUCAACAGGAGCUGAAUAAUGCAUUAAACUGUUAUUGUAUGUGAUUUAACAGAGGAGCACAUGUGUAGAAUCUGAUAUCCAGUCUAUCGUGCCGUUUGUCCUUGUGUUUUGCGUGGCGCAAACUGUGUUGAUGACGUUGUGAAGUAUGUGUGUGCUCUUUUUUGUGUACUUUUUAAGCAGGUUUCAAAAGCUCCCAUUAAAUAGGGCAAUUGUAAUAUCACAAACUAAUUUGGCUGGUGUCACAUUCAUUUCUAAAGAACUGAAGUGACAUUUGAGAGAUUGGGAGUAUAAUAAAAUCCUGCUCCUGUUGAAGUGCCAAUAAAUGUGGUGGUUGGGUAUAAGUUAUAUGGAUCGUCUUUACAUAGAACCCCUGUAUGUUUAAUUGGAGAUGAACGCAAUUUAACAAAGGUUAAAGCAACCAGUGUAGGAACUUGUUAGGGGUUUACAAAGAUUUUUGCAAAUCAAAUGAAAAUAAAAUGAAAAAAAACGAUGAGCCUUAAAACAGACUUAUCUUUUCAGAGUCCGAUUACUCCGUAAGCAGAAAGUUUGACAUGCUGUUGUAAAUAACUAUAUAUUUGUGAGCUGCACCCCAUUUAGACAGAACGGUAUCAUGUGUUGUUUCCAUAAUAGUUGAUAUGAGGCACUGCUGCCCUCUACUGGUGCAGCCUGUCUGUUGCACCUGCUUAGCCUCAAACUUCCACACCUGACUAAUCUCUUGUAUUUUAAGUGUAAUCGAUCCCUUAAAUAUAACUUAAGCCCACUGAUGGAACUGAGAGGGGCCCAGGAUCGUCCGAUAGGACACAAGUUGCCUUUCUGGUAUUCUUUUCUUUGGUAAAGCACUUUGUAAAAUUGUUUAGAAACAAAUGAUUAAGGGUAUUUUUAUGGCAUACUAUACUAGUACAUAUUCCAUGACACUUUUUGUAAUGUCACGCUGUACAUUGGUAUUUCCUAUAGCCUUUCUUUUCCUAUUUUACUAUCAGGUAUUUUAAGAACUUUUUGUGAAAUUUGAUUUAAUUACAAUUUCAUUUUUAACUCUUUCAUGGUAUUCUAUACUGUGACUUUUUAAAGACUCCUUUGUACAAAAAUACCCAAUGAGUACCAUGAUUUGAUAAUCAUUAGAUUUUCUGCAGUGGGCUAAAGAGUGACUAGUCCUGAGUAUAGAAAAUAUAGGUAAGAGACAAUGUCCUGCUGAGAUCUAUUUAACUGCUCGGUGGCAACAUCGUAGCCACCAAACAACUGAAGGCUCUCCCUCCCAAAGCUGUCUGCUCCGUCUAAUUAAAAACAUUCAUCCUCUGGCGUUGUUCUCCAAGGUCAAUAGUCUGGACCUUUGAACCGACCCCUGCUGUAGCACAAGCCCUUUCAUUAGAUUAAACACAAUGAUGAGAAAUCUUUUAUCUUUGCAUAUAAUUAAAGCGUGGUUGAAGGACAACCUAAUCAAUGACGUGGAAUGACAAGUUCGUAAAUGAAUUAGGCCUGCCAAUGAGGGCUUGGCUGCGAUCAAUGACAAAUGUUAAGCAGAGAGUGGAUGGCUUGUAGUAACAGAUACGGGUGAAUCUAUGAGUCCAUGAAAGAGUAUUUGAUUCUGGGGGCGUAGCUCGAUUACUGAUGUGGGUGGUCGUGGCAUUGCAUAGGCAGACUCUGUAAAAUCAGGAUUUUUACUACACAUCAAUCAAAUAUUUAUUAGUACAUAUGAUCAUGGGAGGCAUUUUACACCUCUUUUAGAUGACUUCAAACAAUGCCAAAUUACAUAACAUGUAACUCCACAUAAAUGAGUGAUAUUAAUAGCAUUGUGUAGCCAUGCGAGGGCAGUGUUCUCCUUUGAAAUAGCCUCCGGGCUCCAUGUGAGCAGGAGCAGGCUGCGAAGCCAAAAGGCAAAACUGGAGGAGGAACAGAACAGUUUACGACUGCGACAGUGUUCUGAAGAAUAUUCUUAUGAUACGCUAAAAAAUCCAGAGCGAGAUAUGAGAUAAGAAUCUGUUUAACUGAAUGCAACUUAUCUGAUACAAACACAGAUAAUCCUGCUUCUGACCUUGGCUCAAAGUAAAACUCAACAAUUACUGUUGCACCUCCCAAAAAUGUUCGUGCAGCACGACGUUUCGCUGCUUCCCCUCGGAGGAGCGAGACAAACGGUAGAAAUGAGUGUUUUUGUGAUGGUCCUCGGCUGGCCUUGGGAGUUUGUGUUUGAAGAGAUGGGAAAGGAUGUGAGCACGAGCUUGUAUUGACAAGCCUUCAGUUGCUGUCCGACACACAGACAGGAAGUCACUGUCACAUGACUGAGGUAUCGGCACCUUGUCCGAUUGCACAGAGGGCCUCUUAUGUAUGCUGCCAGCACAGAUACAGCCCGAUUCAUCCACAAUCCAACACUUACACACACACACACACACACACACACACACACACACACACACACACACACACACACACACACACACACACACACACACACACAGAGACACAGAGAAAGAGCGAGAGGAUGCGAACAAAAGCCUGAAAAAAAAGGAAAUACUAAGACUUUCAUAGUAUUAGUUACACCUCAGUCUAAUUGGUAAAUCACAGAUCAACAGAUUGAGUUGAAUAUACCUACCUGACUGGCGUCUGUCAAACAAUUAUCAGUUCUCCUAACUGUUCGGCUGCUAUCUGCCCCAUCACACUCACGCGCCCCAAUUUCCUUAAACUUGUCACAGACAAUAAUUGGGCCUUUCUGUCUGUGAGAAAAUCAGGGCCGCUGUUCUAACUAAACCACACAUCCUUCAUCUUUAUUCUUCCUUCUCCCCCUUCUCCCUCUUGUUCUCUUCUUCCCUUUCUCAAUCACCCCUUUCCCCCAAUACAGCGGUCCUGUCUGCCCCAUCUCCACUUCUUCCUCCACCCUAGUGUGUGUUUGUCUAUGUGCGCGUGUGUGUGUGUGUGUGUGUGUGUGUUGGACAGGGUGCACACUAUGUGACAGCGGUAGCCUCGGGGCCAGGUUGCUGUUGACAGGGACGAGGGUCUCUGAUUUGAGGAGAGCAGUCACACCAGUGACUGCAGCUGCCUCCCCAAGUGACACCUCCCUGUUAGUGGGGGAGAUGUGGACAUGUGUGCCAGUGUGUGUGUGUGUGUGUGUGUGUGUGUGUUGUUGAUGGCAGGGUUGGCGGACUGACUGGCUGCCUACAGUGCUCAGGACAAACAGGGGAACCUUCCCUGAUGAGCUGACAGGCCCUCAUGUUGAACACCUCACUGGGCUCCUGCUGGUGCCGGGACAAAGUGCAGGAGGGGCGAUGGCAAAGAAAGAAGAACAUGGAAACACCGGCCAAGCAGGUCAGAGGGAGAGAAAGAGAUGGAAAGAGGAGACUAAACAGCGCUGGUGUGCAGCGUGCGUGGACUGUGCGUCUGUGUGGAUGUGUGCGAGAGUGUGAGCCUCCAGAGUCCAGGCUGUGUAGAUCACCAUUCCACCUUAUCUAAUUUCAUUAAUGUGAUCCCCUGUCCAUCCUCUGACGGCUUAAUAGCCAUUAUUUGUGGGUCCCUUUCAAUAAAGG
Long non-coding RNA from Gasterosteus aculeatus aculeatus (three-spined stickleback), 9710 nucleotides. The record is from Ensembl. NCBI's taxonomy places the organism in Eukaryota, Metazoa, Chordata, Actinopteri, Perciformes, Gasterosteidae.